Molecule: ribosomal RNA, 774 nt
Filed under: uncultured Neocallimastigales
Lineage: Eukaryota; Fungi; Neocallimastigomycota; Neocallimastigomycetes; Neocallimastigales
Description: partial large subunit ribosomal RNA
Rfam family: Eukaryotic large subunit ribosomal RNA
Source: RNAcentral
ACUAGAGUAGCACUCGCAUAUCAAUAAGCGGAGGAAAAGAAACUAACAAGGAUUCCCCUAGUAACGGCGAGUGAAGCGGGAAGAGCUCAAAUUUGAAAUCUUAAAGGGUUUCCCUUUACGAAUUGUAGUUUAAAGAAGUGUUUUCUGUUGAGGUUUUGGUAAAAGUUCUUUGGAAUAGGACAUCAUAGAGGGUGAGAAUCCCGUAUUUGACCUUUACUUUCAACUUUGUGAUACACUUUCAAAGAGUCGGAUUGUUUGGGAAUGCAGUCCAAAAUGGGUGGUAAAUUUCAUCUAAAGCUAAAUAUUGGCGAGAGACCGAUAGCGAACAAGUACCGUGAGGGAAAGGAUGAAAAGAACUUUGAAAAGAGAGUUAAACAGUACGUGAAAUUGUCAAAAGGGAAGCGUUUGACACCAGUGUUGUUUUUCUGAAAAUCAAUUAAAGAACUGUUUAUGCUAAGCUGUUUAGACUUUAUCAGCUAUCUGUUUAGUUUUGAGCUUUUCUUUAAUGCACUUUUCAGUUAACAAGUCAACAUCAAUUUCUUUUGCUGUAAAAAAGCUUGAGGAAGGUGGCUUGAGAUUCGUCUUAAGUGUUUAUAGCCUCUUGCCUAUGCAGUCGGAGAGAUUGAGGUCUGCAGCGUAGAUCCUUCGGGGCUAAAUGCAUUUGUGCUAAGUUAUAGCAUUUUAUAGACAACUUGUUGACUAUGAUUUGUCUUGUAGCUUACUCGCUUAUGUUAUUUUACCUACGCUUAGGAUGUUGAACUCUAUCACACACAG